CUUUUCUUUCAUUUCACAACACACUCUGCCUCUUCUUUCUUUCUUUUUUUCUUUCUAUCUUCCUCAUUUCUUUGAUCAAUAUAUCUCAUUUCACACUCUCACCAAAACAACAUCAACAACAGCAACAAAAAACUCCAACAGCAGAGACAAGCAGUACUGUUUUCUAAAAGCAAAUAAACACAGAGAGAGAGAGAGAGAGAGAAUCUUGUGGUUAUUGAAACCUAAGCAUAAGAACAGAAUGUUGGAGUUAAAAGACCCGGCGAUAAAGCUGUUCGGAAAGACAAUUCCGUUGCCACUAAGGAAGCAAACUUUGACUAACGAGUCAUCUGUAGCUGAGGAUUGCUCUGACCAAAAUCUUCAUUCUCCAAACAUUUCCUCCUCUUCGCGUGAAGAGAGCUCUGCCAGAGAACGUGAAGGGAAUAAGGAACCUUUGGGAAGAGAACUCAUCACAAAUAAACAGGAAGAUGGUACCUCGCAUCAGAUUUCAGAAGAUUCAAAAGAUCCUACAUCAUCAAGCACUAGCGAGAACCCUAAAACUCCCUCAGUUGACAUAGAAACUUCAUCAAUAAAAGCCUCAAAGAAUGGAGAACAAAGUGAGACAAGUAUCUCACAAGAAAAGACCCUGAAGAAGCCUGACAAAAUACUUCCAUGUCCCCGGUGCAAUAGCAUGGACACCAAGUUUUGUUAUUACAACAAUUACAAUGUCAACCAGCCCCGUCAUUUCUGUAAGAACUGUCAAAGAUACUGGACUGCUGGUGGAACUAUGAGGAAUGUACCCGUAGGUGCUGGUCGUCGGAAGAACAAAAACUCUUCCAAUUCACAUUAUCGUCACAUUAUAGUUUCAGAAGCUCUUCAAACAGCUCGAGCUAAUGGAAUUCAAAAUCCAGCUUUUGGAAAUAAUAGCACUGUCCUCACAUUUGGCUCAGAUUCUCCUCUUUGCGAAUCCAUGGCUUCUGUAUUGAACCUUGCAGAGAAAACGCAAAACCAUGUUCCAAACGUAUUUCACAGACCUGAUCAAAGAACUCUUGUUUCUGGUGGAGAUACUGGAGACGAUUACUCAAGUGGAUCCUCUAUCACAGCUUCAAAUUCAACUGAGAAGGAAUUUAAUGCUGGUUUACAAGAGUCAGCAGUUAAGAAUUAUCAAGGGUUUCCUCCCCAGUUACCAUGCUUUCCAGGAACCCCUUGGUCUUUGCCUUGGAACUCAGCUCACUGGAGCUCUGCGAUGCCUCCACCUGCUUUAUGCCCAUCAGGCUUCCCGGUAUCAUUCUACCCUGCACCAGCAUAUUGGGGUUGUAAUGUUUCAGGCUCUUGGAAUAUACAAUGUCUUUCCCCACCAUCUUCUUCUCUCAGCCACGGUAGCCAAAGCUCGGCCCCUAAUUCCCCAACCUUGGGCAAACAUUCACGGGAUGGGAACAUCAUUAAUCCCGCGAACUCACCGAAAGAGUCUGUUAAAGAGAACAGUUCAGAAAGAUGUGUUUGGAUUCCAAAAACUUUGAGGAUUGAUGAUCCCAAUGAAGCUGCAAAGAGCUCUAUAUGGACUACACUUGGGAUCAAGAAUGAGAAGACUAGUUCUAUCAACAGUGGAGGUCUCUUUAAGGCAUUCCAAACAAAGGGCAAUGACAAAAGUAAAGUGGUCGAGACAUCUGCUGUGCUGCAAGCCAACCCUGCAGCCUUGUCCCGGUCACUAAACUUCCAUGAGAGUGCAUAAUUGCAGAGAAACUUGCAUUGUUAACUCUGCUUGUGGUGGCAAUGCAACAAAUGGGGUUUCCAUCAUUGCAACUCCUUGCUGACAAAUUUGUGCAGCCUUUUUUCCCCAAAUAUUGUAUGUUAACCAACCUCGAUGCAAGAAUUGGUUAGCAAAAGCAAUCCAAAUUAGAGGAAGAUCAUGCAGGAAGCAGUUAGCAAAGCAAUAUAAAUUAGAGGAAGACUAGAGAAGUUUCCGCCUAUUUUUACCUUGUAGGAGAGCAGAGCCGUUAACCUCAAUUCUGAGAAAAUCAGAUACAAGGAUAUAAAGGUAUGUAAGGAGAGAACAUUAGAUCAUCUAAAAUCUCUCUUUUUGGUACUCUGUUCCUUUGGGCUUGUAUUUGGGGGUGUAAGAUUCGUAUUUCUUUAUCUGAUUUUUUAUCCUCUAGUUCCUUUAGUUCUUGAUUUUUUUUGUAUCCGUUUCUUGUUUAGAGUGUUCACUAGCGUGAGCAUGAUGUUCAAUUUUUAAUAUAAAGUCUUAUUACCUAUCAUAAAAAACCUAUGUAACCUGGUUUGAUUAUGUACUGAUGGGAUUUCCCUCUCUACUAAAAAAAACAAAGGCACAAAAAGCUACACUCUGUUGCUGUGGCAACCCAACCUUUCGUCAACUCUACAUGGAAUUCCUAAUUAUCAUGUUAGAUGUUACAUCAUUCACAUAGACCCCAAAGGAGAACAUAUUUUUUUUUUUAAAUCAUCAAUAUCAAGAAAAUUGAUUGAUGUUCUUGUCCUGCCUAUUUACAGAAGUUUGUUUUGGAAGUUCAAGGCUGCAACUAAAUGUAUGGCUGGUGCAAUAAAAUUUGGUAAUGGUUAUUGUAUGUCGUACUGUUAGAGAGGCACACAGUAAAAUAGAUUUGGAGAUGGGGCAGAUUCAAAAAGAUAGAAAAGUUCUCUAGGCCCACAUUAAUGCUGAUAACUUUGAA
Molecule: RNA transcript, 2663 nt
Organism: Quercus lobata
Lineage: Eukaryota; Viridiplantae; Streptophyta; Magnoliopsida; Fagales; Fagaceae
Gene name: cyclic dof factor 3-like
Exons: 3
Source: RefSeq, a predicted model, not a curated record